Molecule: ribosomal RNA, 253 nt
Filed under: uncultured bacterium
Lineage: Bacteria
Description: partial 16S ribosomal RNA
Rfam family: Bacterial small subunit ribosomal RNA
Source: RNAcentral
UACGGAGGGGGCUAGCGUUGUUCGGAAUCACUGGGCGUAAAGGGCGCGUAGGCGGCUUUAUAAGUCGGGGGUGAAAGCCUGUGGCUCAACCACAGAAUUGCCUUCGAUACUGUAGAGCUUGAGACCGGAAGAGGUAAGUGGAACUGCGAGUGUAGAGGUGAAAUUCGUAGAUAUUCGCAAGAACACCAGUGGCGAGGGCGGCUUACUGGUCCGGUUCUGACGCUGAGGCGCGAAAGCGUGGGGAGCAAACAGG